Molecule: long non-coding RNA, 1170 nt
Organism: Lytechinus variegatus (green sea urchin)
Lineage: Eukaryota; Metazoa; Echinodermata; Echinoidea; Temnopleuroida; Toxopneustidae
Exons: 2
Source: RefSeq, a predicted model, not a curated record
CGGCUAAAAACAAUGUUUUUCGAUUGAUCGAUUGAUCAAAAAACUGAUUUUAUCAACAAAGAUGAAUUUUUUCGUCUUUAAUGGUACAAUUGGCCCGCCAUUCCGCAGGCCCUUCAUUUCGAUCAACAACGAAAACAGAAGCACGUGUGUGUGACUUGUCGACUUGUACUCCGAACUUUCUGCGUACCAAGUAGUUGCCUCGGAGAAGACACUGUCCGAUCGAUUGAUGUCUUGAGGAUGGCUUGAACCAUGGUGGCAAAACUUGUUUUUACCUCCAUACUUAAACUGUCAUCUUUAGAUUUCUCCACGAUUUGAACGAGUAAAGCUAUUGGUGGGUUUCUGUACUUGCAAAUGCCAGACUUCAAUGAUUAUAAGGCAAUCUCUUUCAUGACUUCAACGCUUAAUUUUUCAACGAGGGGAUUAUGAUGCAGUAAGAUGAUCAUCGCACUCUUUACUCUUAUCGCUCGUAUCUACGCCCAUUGUCCUGGCGGUGAGGAGUGUCAACAUUCCGCUGGAAGUUGGUGGUUUUUCAAUAACCAACACGACGACGAGACCGCCGGACUGGUGCAUGGUGGAAAAACAUGAACCUCAGCCAGAAGUCUCAGCAAAAGUCAUACACACGGAUAUAUAUAUAUAUAUAUAUAUAUGUAUACACACACACACACACAUAUAUAUAUGUAUACUUCAGGGAUGUUAUUCUUGGUGCUGAGUCAACUCUACAGUCAACAGAAGCUCAACAGAAUGUUACUCCAUCGGGCAAUGGUAGUAAAUGGAUAGCUUCCUGUGAACGUGCUAUUCGACUGAUUUGCAUAAGAGGCUUAUGCCUCCCUCUAUUGGUCGGACUUAUUGUCACGUGACAAAUCUAUUCUGCUCGACCUUUGUUAUUACGAUCAACCAGUCAAUAUAACUAUUAUAUCCCUUCGGAGCGUCGCUCUAUGUAUGGUUACACGUGUUUUCAGCGCGGUAACUGUUCUGAAUUUGAAAUACAUGUGUUUUAGGAUAAAUGGUGAGAUGUUUCUUGACACUAUCGUGUUCGCUUCGGCAACACAUCUAAUAAAAUUGGAACGAUACAGAGAAGAUUAGCAUGGCCCCUGCGCAAGGAAGCUACCCACCAAUCUUCUCUGUCCCCGCGUCCCGUAGGCUCCCACGCCGGCGCCGUUCUGUUGAUUU